UACGGGAGGCAGCAGUAGGGAGUUUUCGGCAAUGGGCGAAAGCCUGACCGAGCAACGCCGCGUGAGUGAUGAAGGUCUUCGGAUUGUAAAGCUCUUUCGGGAGGGACGAAACCUGUGAUCAGGAAAUGGGUCGCAGCUGACGGUACCUCGAAAAGAAGUGACGGCUAACUACGUGCCAGCAGCCGCGGUAAU
RNAcentral lists this ribosomal RNA (192 nucleotides) under uncultured rumen bacterium. RNAcentral describes it as "partial 16S ribosomal RNA". It matches the Rfam family "Bacterial small subunit ribosomal RNA", at positions 340 to 524 of the family's 1533-position model. The record is from RNAcentral.